CCAGCCCGCGCGGCACGGACGAUUGCGCCAGCGCUUCGUUCUCCGCCGCCUCGCCGUCCAUCAGGAGCUGCGCCGCGCGUUCGGCCAGCUUCUGGCCGGCGUCGGUCAGCGCCAGUUGCCGCGAGGUGCGGUUGAACAGCCGCGCGCCGAGCCGCUCCUCAAGGCGGCUGACGGCCUUGGAAACCGUCGCCUUCGACAGCGCCAGCNNNNNNNCCGGCAAAUGACCGCAUUUCCACAACUUUUGCGAAGAUCGCCAGCGCCUCGAAGUCCGGGAGCCUGGAC
Molecule: unclassified non-coding RNA, 282 nt
Filed under: Hevea brasiliensis (rubber tree)
Lineage: Eukaryota; Viridiplantae; Streptophyta; Magnoliopsida; Malpighiales; Euphorbiaceae
Source: RNAcentral